This is a long non-coding RNA of Pan troglodytes (chimpanzee), 1834 nucleotides long. RefSeq lists it as uncharacterized. The transcript has 3 exons. Lineage: Eukaryota; Metazoa; Chordata; Mammalia; Primates; Hominidae. The record is from RefSeq and is a predicted model, not a curated record.
AAAACAAAACAUUGGCCGGGCGCUGUGGCUCACGCCUGUAAUCCCAGCACUUGGGGAGGCCGAGGCCAGCGGAUCACGAGGUCAGGAGAUCGAGACCAUCCUGGUUAACACGGUGAAACCCCAUCUCUACUAAAAAUACAAAAAAUUAGCCGGGCGUGGUAGCGGGCACCUGUAGUCCCAGCUACUCGGGAGGCUGAGGCAGGAGAAUGGCGUGAACCUGGGAGGCAGAGCUUGCAGUGAGCCGAGAUCGCGCCACUGCACUCCAGCCUGGGCGACAGAGCGAGACUCCGUCUCAAAACAAAACAAAACGAACAAAACAUUUUUUCCCCUAGCCUGCUUGUACAAUAAAUCUACACAAUCUAGAACAUCAUUUAUUUUAAAUUCUCUAAUUAACAGCUUGAUUCAGUCAUUUCACAAUGUAUACACAUAUCAAAACACCAUGUUGUAUACCAUAAAUAUAUACUUUUGUUAAUUGAAAAAAUGUAAGUAAGAAACUUAAACAAAAAAAUAGCCCAGCCAGGCGUGAUGGCUCACAUCUGUAAUCCCAGUGCUUUGAGAGGCCAAGGUGGGCAGAUCACUUGAGGCUAGGAGUUCGAGACCAGCCUGGCCAACAUGGUGAAACCCCAUCUCUACUAAAAAUACAAAGAUUAGCAGAGCAUGGUGGUGCAUGCCUGUAAUCCCAGCUACUUGGGAGGCUGAAGCAGGAGGAUCGCCUGGACUUGGGAGGCGGAGGUUGCAGUGAGAGGAGAUCACGCCACUGCAUUCCAGCCUGGGCAAGAAUGAGACUCCAUCUCAAAAACAAAUAGAUAAAUAACAAUAGCCCUUUCCAUUAUAGUGUUAUUUUCUGGUAUCAUCUGUAAACCCAGUAUUGAAGUGAAAGUGUUGGAUUAAUUUGAGAAGGAAAAGAUAUACUUAUCAAACACCUUAUAUUAAAUUAUUAUCUAUUAUAUUAUUAUUGUAUUUGUUGAAUACCACAUAUACAUAUUUAGUCCUCACAACCCUAAUGGGACGUGUUAUUCCCAUUGUGUAGCUGAGGAAACUGACACUCUUCAAAGUUCAGCUUGUCUGUGGUUACCAGCUGUAAUGGGGCCCACAGUCAUGGGGUGAUUCUGUGAGCUCACACUCUUUCCACACCCUAUCCCCGAAAUGAAACAACUUGGAACUGUCUCCAUUUUUAUUAUACUGUUCAAUAAAAAUUUGGGGGUUGCUUUGGCAGAUAAUCAUAUGCAAGCUCUAUUUUCCAAAUAUUUCAACUUAUUUUUCUGCUCUCUCGAAUUCCUCCCUCCCCUCCCCCAUUCCAUUUCCUUGUGACCACAUCUGCUUCUUGGAGAGACUUGCAGGAUCUGACACAUCCUCUUGGUUUCCUAAGUCUUAUGACUAGCCAAUGCCUGAAAUAAUGAACUCCUCCAAGGCAAGAAAUCUGUUUUGAAGCUUCUCUGCGUUCACACACAGCAGCCUGGUUUCCUGGCAGGGCAUUUUCCACAUUGUGCGUUAUGGAUGAUCAUCCCGGGCAUCAGGAUGUGAAGCCCUGCAUCCACAUCCAGGGGCUAUCAAAUCUCUCUGCAAAAGGAGAAUCUGGACUCAGGCACGUUUACAGUGAUGUGUAUGCAGGGUAUGCACAGAUGUGGAAACAGGAACUGAUGUGUCCAUUACACCACUAGGACAGAGGCCAGAACAAUGAAGAAACCAAAUGCUUGGAAGAGGGUAGAGAUAAUGAAUGGAGUCCAAGAGCCCUGAUUGUGCCAUAAAUGUCCAGAUAAUUCCAUACCUGAGGAUUAUGUGGUUUGUAAACUUGGCACUUAGAAGAACCAAUAAAAUUAUGUUAUAGUUUCAA